This 602-nucleotide long non-coding RNA is filed under the name Homo sapiens (human). RNAcentral describes it as "HSALNT0114065". Lineage: Eukaryota; Metazoa; Chordata; Mammalia; Primates; Hominidae. The record is from RNAcentral.
GACAGGUACCUGUAAUCCCAGCUACUCAGGAGGCUAAGGCAGGAGAAUUGCUUGAACCCCAGAGAAGCAGGUUGCAGUGAGUGGAGAUCACGCUACUGCUUCAGCCUGGGCGACAGGGCGAGACCCGUCUCAAAACAAACAAACAAACAAACAAAACCACACAAAAGGAUAGGAAAUACUUAAGUGUCAUGGCAGAGAAAGAAUAUAAAGCAUUGAAGGAAGAAAGAGAACUUCUUGCAGGAAAAGCCCCUUGAUUAACUCAAGUCUUACCCCCUUCUUUAACUCUUUCUUGACAAUAAUAUCUUAAUCUCUCCCAACAGUUUAUGUAGCACCUUAUUUUCUUCAUCUGCAAAAUGGGGGGCAUAACACCACCCACUUCCAAGUAGGGCCAAAUAAGAUAAUGCACAUACCCCUUUAUAUAGUACUGGGAAAAUAGUAAGUAUUCAUGAAGAUUAGCUAUUAAUCGCCAUUACAGGACUUGGAUAUACUUCCUGAUUUCUUUUGCCCAGGAUGGAAAUGGCAGGAUCCCUACUUACUGCAACCUCCACCUCCCAGGUUCAAGCAAUUCUCCUGCCUCAGCCUCCCAAGUAGCUGGGAUUACA